RNAcentral lists this ribosomal RNA (513 nucleotides) under uncultured bacterium. RNAcentral's name for it is "partial 16S ribosomal RNA". It matches the Rfam family "Bacterial small subunit ribosomal RNA", at positions 28 to 523 of the family's 1533-position model. The record is from RNAcentral.
GACGAACGCUGGCGGCAUGCCUAAUACAUGCAAGUCGAGCGAACAGAUGAAGUGCUUGCACUUCUGACGUUAGCGGCGAACGGGUGAGUAACACGUAAGGAAUCUACCUAUAAGCGGGGGAUAACAUUCGGAAACGGGUGCUAAUACCGCAUAAUAUCUUCUUCCGCGUGGAAGAAGAUUGAAAGACGGCUCUGCUGUCACUUAUAGAUGACCUUGCGGUGCAUUAGUUAGUUGGUGGGGUGAUGGCCUACCAAGACGAUGAUGCAUAGCCGACCUGAGAGGGUGAUCGGCCACAUUGGGACUGAGACACGGCCCAAACUCGUACGGGGGGCAGCAGUAGGGAAUCUUCCGCAAUGGGCGAAAGCCUGACGGAGCAAUGCCGCGUGAGUGAAGAAGGCCUUCGGGUCGUAAAACUCUGUUAUAAGAGAAGAACAAAUUGUAGAGUAACUGCUACAGUCUUGACGGUAUCUUAUCAGAAAGCCACGGCUAACUACGUGCCAGCAGCCGCCGUAA